UACGUAGGGGGCAAGCGUUGUCCGGAUUUAUUGGGCGUAAAGAGCGUGUAGGCGGCUUUACAGGUCCGUUGUGAAAACUCGAGGCUCAACCUCGAGACGCCGGUGGAAACCGUAAAGCUAGAGUCCGGAAGAGGAGAGUGGAAUUCCUGGUGUAGCGGUGAAAUGCGCAGAUAUCAGGAGGAACACCGAUGGCGAAGGCAGGUCUCUGGGCCGAUACUGACGCUGAGGAGCGAAAGCGUGGGGAGCGAACAGG
Molecule: ribosomal RNA, 253 nt
Filed under: uncultured bacterium
Lineage: Bacteria
Description: partial 16S ribosomal RNA
Rfam family: Bacterial small subunit ribosomal RNA
Source: RNAcentral